This 676-nucleotide long non-coding RNA is filed under the name Equus caballus (horse). Its description in RNAcentral is "lncRNA (ENSECAG00000054238.1)". The record is from RNAcentral. Lineage: Eukaryota; Metazoa; Chordata; Mammalia; Perissodactyla; Equidae.
CGGCCCCCCCCAGUCAGCCUAGGUUGUCUCUGGCCACCCCGGGGUGGGCUGGGGGGGAGGCGGGCAGGUUGUACCUGAUGUGAGGGAGUCAUGAGUCUUGAUCCGAGACUUCUUUUCGAUGCUUUAAGAGAGGGCACAGGAUGUGGGAGGCCCCACUUUGUCCCCAUUGGGCCACGUGGUCCCCGGGUUGGUGGGGGACAGCAGGACUUGGGGAGGGGGCUGAGGCCCCAGUUCCGCAAGGUGACCCAUAGUGUCCUCGCCAACUUCCCGAGGGCCCCACAGUCAACUGGUCACCUGAAAGGGGGGACCCUCACCCUGGGGAUGGUUCCAUCUUGGUACACUGGAGGUCCUUUGUGCCAGCAACGGUAUCCGGGCAGCAUCGGGUUCCGAGCUCCGAGCCACCGAGCGCUUGUCUUGGGGGAGGUCCCCAUCCUGCCAGCAGUGCAGGCCUCCCCCAGCGCCUCCUGCUGCGCCUGGCUCAGGUGGAACAGCCAUUGCGAUGUGUGUCCUCACGGUGGCCAGAGCGGUGGGCUUUGUCCCCAUUCUCUGCAGGAGAGGGGCGGGGCCUCCCAGCCGCCCAGCUUGAGGGACCCUUGAAGAUGGCCUUUCCACACCGGCCUGGAAACUGGCGCUGUGGUUCCGAGGACAGCCUGGAAGGGCACAGCCGGCAUUUGUG